This 198-nucleotide ribosomal RNA is filed under the name uncultured bacterium. RNAcentral's name for it is "partial 16S ribosomal RNA". It matches the Rfam family "Bacterial small subunit ribosomal RNA", at positions 328 to 539 of the family's 1533-position model. The record is from RNAcentral.
ACGCUCGACACCUACGGGAGGCAGCAGUGGGGAAUAUUGCACAAUGGGGGAAACCCUGAUGCAGCGACGCCGCGUGAAGGAAGAAGUAUCUCGGUAUGUAAACUUCUAUCAGCAGGGAAGAAAGUGACGGUACCUGACUAAGAAGCCCCGGCUAACUACGUGCAAGCAGCCGCGGUAAUCUGAGCGGGCUGGCAAGGC